GUCAGGGCGUGCUCAGUUGGGGCUCUGUCCGGGGUUCUUUGGCUGCUGUUCCAUUUCGACGGUUCUGAUCACAGUUUUGGUUUCGAUAAAAGAGGAGGAGAACCUAGCUUGUGCAGCCGUGAAGGUUUAGAAGCAAAUACAACAAGAGAGGAAGACGACUAAUUUCCGGGUGUCAACGGUGAUAUCAUUUUAUUAUUUUUUUUUCUUAUAAUUUAUUUUUAUGGGUUUUGAGAAAUUCAUAAUCAUGUGUUGCUACAUCUUGUAAUCAGGGGUGAUGGAGAAAACUACUUUAAAACAUAAACCAUUAUGAAUUAAAUUAGAACUAAUUUGGUAUUAGGUUAUGUGAAUUGAAUUAUCGAAAUCCAAUUAUUAUGGUUUAUUGAUUUUAUGAAGAAUAUAUAUAUAUAUAUAUAUAUAUUCCUGAAUAGUGUUCCAAUUUUGUUUGUUAUAGUAUUUGAUAAUGUCAUGCUUAGACGACACAAAUAAUAACUGUAAACCUAAAAAUUAUAUUUCAUAAUUUCCAUGUCAUUAUAUUCGAUAGUCCAUGCUUUGGAGACUCUGAUGGGUUAUGCUUAGGAGAUGCAUAUUUGUUAUCGAAAUACAUAAUUUUGGAAUUUGAAUUCUUUUCGGUGCAGAAUUAUAAAUAGUAGUGGAAUCCAUAGACCCUGGUUACCGUCUCUCUUAUUAGAUUUUGGUUAGCUUAGUCAUUAUUUUCUUCUUUGAGUUAAUUUUUAUAAAACCCAAAAAUUUUCUCCUUGGUUAGUUUUAUUAGAGAGUUUGAUUACUGUAUUUUCCACCGCUCCCUGUGUGUUCGACCCUUUCUUGCCGCUAUCUACUAGUUAGACGUCGUGCGAUUGCGGUUAUCACAUAUAGGAUAAUCCCAUAUCUUAUCAAUUUUUGGCGCCGUUGUCGGGGAGCGGUUGUGGAAUAUUGUAAUUAGUAUUUUUGAUUUUGUAAACAGUUAGAUUUUUAUUUUAUUUUAUUUUAUUUUUGUACGGUAAUUUUAUUUCGUUUUAGGAUUUUUUUUUUAACUCCUUUUGUGUGUUAGAAUUUUACUUCAGGAGUCAUUUUGAGGAUGCUGAAUUGUUCGCACGAGAGGUCAUCUAAGAUGGCGCUUGCAGAAUAUAAACGUAGAAGUUCACAUUCUCAGGAGAGUCUUCUGAUAUGACGCUUGGGGAGUAUAUGUAUUGGUCACGUCAUAAGGAAGUUUUUGCUCCACAAAUGGUAAGUGAAGAAUCACCUUUAAAAAUAUAUGAGAAGUAUUAUAAACAUACACCACUUAGUUUGGAGCAAAGGUUGAGAGUUUUAGCAUGCCUAGACUUAUAUGCAGAUGAUGACUUAGAGGAACCUGUUUAUUUAGAUGAUAUUAUUGUUGAGUCUAACGACUUAGAGACGGUAGACAUUCAUGAUGAGGUAUCAUCUAGUAAUUUGAAUUGUGAGAUUCCUAUAGGUCACUUGGCUACAUAUGAUAAUGAGUCGAUUAUUCAUGAUAUUGUUACUCCAUUGAGCCCUUGUUUUGUUGACUCAUCUUAUGAUUUCCUGAUUGUUCAUGUGAAUACGGGGGCGAUUUGUAAUGGUCAGGUAACUGAUGAUUUUGAACCAAUCUUAAUUUGUUUAGCCCACUUUGAAGAUUCUGAUGAUCCUAUGAUUAUUCACAAUGUCCAUGCAUUGUGCCCUAUGAUUUCUAGUGAAGUUAAUGUAUCGAACGAAUGUAUUUCGGCUGAUUUAGAACCUGAUUUAGAGUGUGCUUCCCGAAUACAAACUAAUAUACAUUCUAUGUUUGUUUUCCAUGUAAGUGAUUUAUUUAUCUCGACUAAGGAAUGUUUUCUUUUGAGAAUGGAUUUACACAUCUUUUUGAAAGUUUAUAGUGUUUGCAGGUUCAUAUUCACAGCUGCCUUGAUUUGUUGGAUUGAUCCCCAACUUUUCAGACUUUAUAUAUAUAUAUGCUUUGCAGCCUAUUUUGGUGUAUCAUCACCUUAUUUGAUAUUCCUUGCGUGCACAAACAACGGUACAACGAUUAUGCUUUAUGAGAGUCAACCCAUACAAUUUCGCUUCAUGGGAGUUAACCCAUCAUAUUUGUAUUAUUUCCUCUAUCUUUUAUUUGUUUGCUUGAAUUUCUCAUCUUAAUUUCUACGUUGGAUGACUCAAUUACAUUGAGGACAAUGUGAUGUUUAAGUGUGGGGGAGUGACAUUUUCAUAAGGAUUUUUUAAUUUAAAAAAAAAUUGCUUUAUUUUUGUAGCUUUUCAUUUUAAAAAAAGAUAUGCAUUUUCUUAUUAAAAAAUUAUUUUUAGAGUACUUUCUAUGACCAACUGUUUAGCGGGUCUUUCUGUCUAGCUGUUUAGCAGAUAUCUCUCGAUCUUGCUGUUUAGGGGAUCUGUCUCGCUGUUUAGAAGACAUCUCUCAAUUUUGUUGUUUAGCGGAUCUGUCUCGCUGUUUAGCAGACAUCUUUCUGUCUAGCUGUUUAGCAGACAUUUCUCAACCACUGUUUAGUGAUUCCGUUUAGCUGUUUAGCAGACAUAUCUCCAUAUCCAAUUGUGGAGCAGUGCUUUUGUAGAAGGUACAAGCGAGUACGAUCACCCGGUGAAUAAACGGAAAAAUAGAAGCUGAAAUGGUAUUUGCCGGAAAAACACAGUGAUGCAAUCCAUACCACCAAAGAAGGGGAGUCGAUUUACCAUUGGUCUAUCAAUAACCAACCUACUAUGUUGUCAGCACCACUAAAAAUCUCAUGGCAGAAGAUUAUUUUAUUUAAUUAAUGAGACAGGGCAUUACUUCACUAAACAAAAAAAGAAGUUGUUGCCUUUCUAUUCUAUACUUGCAUCCACAUUUACUAGUGAACUGAUGAAAGUGGAAAUAAAAAAAAUUGAGAUAUUCAUUGGCACGAAAGAAAGGCAAGUGGUUAGAGAAGGGAUCUUCCUGUGUCACCGCAAUAACUAUCAGUGGAUAAGCGAUAUUUGGAGAAUCAUACGAUUAUGAGAAGGAUAAAGAGAGUUGGUGGAGCCAAUAAAGUGGAAAUGAUUCGACACACGGCGUUCCAUCAUUGUUCCAUUGACGUGGAGGAUAAUUCAAGAAAAGGGAAAGUUGGGUUUUAAAGUCUACAUUUAAAUACAACAGAGGUGAGACAAUGAGGACGUGCUCGGUUGGGGGUCCGUCUGGGGUUCUUUGGCUCGUGUUCCAUUUCGACGGUUCUGGUCACAGUUUUGUUUCGAUAACAGAGAGGAGGAGAAGCUAGCUUGUUCAGCCGUGAAGGUGUAGGAGCAAAUACAACGAGAGAGGAAGACGACUAACUGUCCGGUGUCAACGGUGAUAUCAGUUUAUUAUUUUUUUUUCUUGUAAUUUAUUUUUAUGGAUUUUGAGAAAUCCAUAGUUAUGUGUUGUUAGAUCUUGUAACUAGGGGUGAUGCAGAAAACUACUUUAAAGCAUAGACCAUUAUGAAUUAAAUUGGUAGUAAUUUGGUAUUAGGCUA
RNA transcript from Papaver somniferum (opium poppy), 3464 nucleotides. RefSeq lists it as uncharacterized. NCBI's taxonomy places the organism in Eukaryota, Viridiplantae, Streptophyta, Magnoliopsida, Ranunculales, Papaveraceae. The record is from RefSeq and is a predicted model, not a curated record. The transcript is spliced from 2 exons.